UACGGAGGGGGCUAGCGUUAUUCGGAAUUAUUGGGCGUAAAGGGCGUGUAGGCGGCUUCGUGUGUCCCGUGUGGAAGCCCUCGGCUUAACCGAGGAAUUGCAUGGGAAACUGCAGAGCUUGAGUCCGGGAGAGGAGAGCGGAAUUCCCAGUGUAGCGGUGAAAUGCGUAGAUACUGGGAGGAACACCGGUGGCGAAGGCGGCUCUCUGGACCGGUACUGACGCUGAAACGCGAAAGCUAGGGGAGCAAACAGG
RNAcentral lists this ribosomal RNA (253 nucleotides) under uncultured bacterium. RNAcentral's name for it is "partial 16S ribosomal RNA". It matches the Rfam family "Bacterial small subunit ribosomal RNA", at positions 524 to 776 of the family's 1533-position model. The record is from RNAcentral.